CCUCACUAGUCUAAACGAGUUAAUACACAUUGACUCAAUAAUUUGAUCAACGGAAUAAGUUACCCUAGGGAUAACAACGCAAUCGUAUUCUAGAGUCCAUAUCGACAAUAAGGUUUACAACUUCGAUGUUGGAUCAGGACAUCCUAAUGGUGUAGCCGCUAAUAAGUGUUCGUUUGUUCAAUGAUCAAAGUCCUACAUGAUCUGAGUUCAGACGGGAGUAAUCCAGGUCGGUUUCUAUCUAUUCUAUAUUUUUCCCUUUC
Molecule: long non-coding RNA, 260 nt
Organism: Nomascus leucogenys (northern white-cheeked gibbon)
Lineage: Eukaryota; Metazoa; Chordata; Mammalia; Primates; Hylobatidae
Exons: 3
Source: RefSeq, a predicted model, not a curated record